Molecule: long non-coding RNA, 3556 nt
Filed under: Cricetulus griseus (Chinese hamster)
Lineage: Eukaryota; Metazoa; Chordata; Mammalia; Rodentia; Cricetidae
Description: lncRNA (ENSCGRG00015039749.1)
Source: RNAcentral
UGUCUGUAAAGCACACCCAGGUUCAUAAAGCAUAGCGCCACCAGCUAACUUCUGAUUGGUUCCUUGUGACAAGACAGGCAUCUGACUUUCUAGUGUCUAGAACAAGGUCAUAGAAGCACAUGUUCGACCAUUAUGGCUGCCGAAAGGGAAGCUGGCCCCUUCAGAAUCAUCUAGAGAAACCCUUCUGGAUGUAUCUGGUUUUCUUACAGCAAUAGAAAAACAACGAAUGUAAGAACCAUUAAGGAGAGACCAUUCGCCUUGUACUGGGCCAAUAGGAGAAAUGCCCUGAUGUCAAGAAUAUCCACCAAAGGCUUUAACUUGUGGAAAUGUAAAUUCAUCUGAAUGGAGAGAACCUGAACGGAGAACAGCACCACAGAGGAUUCCUGCUAAAAAUCAGUUGCUCAGAGUGGUGCUUCCUAGGGUUAGCCCUUGGAGGCACACAGAGGCAGAUGCAGAUCAGGGGGCCAGGAUACAUCUCAAGCUGACAGCAGGACUUGGGAGCCUUAGCCACAGGAAACUGCUCUUUUUCUGCCAGGCUUGACAGAGGCAAGAUUGAGGGAGUCAUGGAGACUUGCACUAAGGUUCCUGACAACUGCUGGGGCCAGGGGUCCAACUCUGAAGGCCAUGCAGGUGACUGUAUCACCAGGAUUCGAGCCCCACACGGUCAACUUGGAGCACCACAUCUGCCUGCACCUCUUAGUCAGUCUGCAGAUGUCCCUGGACUAAAACCUGGGAGGAGGCUGUCAGGGGUACCUGAACCCCAAUCUUUUUUUUUUUUUUUUAAAUACAUUUUAAAAAGAAUUUAAAUGAGAAUCUUGUUUUACAUGUUAAUCCCAGUACCCUCCCCUUCCUUCCUUCCCCCCACCUCCCAUCCCCUUUCUGCUCCCCAAGGAGUGUGAGGCCUUCCAUAGGGGAAUCUUCAAAGUCUGUCAUUAUUUGGAGCAGGGCCUAGGCCCUCCCCGUGUGUCUAGGCUGAGAGAGUAGCCCUCUAUGUGGAGAGGGCUCCCAAAAUCCAUUUGUACACUAGGGAUUAAUACUAAUCAGCUACCAGAGGCCCCAUAGGUUGCCCAGGCCUCCUAAUUGACACCCACUAUCAGGGGGUCUCACUCGGUCCUAUGCUGGUUUCCCAGCUAUCAAUCUGGGGUCCAUGAGCUCCCCCUUGUUUGGCUGACCCCCAAUCUUACUGCACUCCAUGCUCUUACUAGAUUGCUUUUUUCUUUUGUGCUGGGGCUGAAGCCCAGGAGUUCGUGCAUGUUAGGUGAAGGCACUACCACAGAGAGAGUUACAUCCCCAGAUCCACUAUUUCCUUUUUAUCCCAGACCCUAGUGGUUUUGUCUCUGCCAUAUAAAACAUAAAGUAGUCAUGCUAAUGGUGAUUGGCUCCCAGUAACACAUACAUUAUCAUAUACCCCAGCUUCCUGUUGCAGUCUGCAGAUCUGCUCCAAGUCACACUGCCACCAAAGUCAACACCAGACUCCCUUUGGUCUGGGGUUUCAGAACUGAUUUUACCCAUUCUUUACUCUCACAGUACCACACCUCUGCCAUCUCUUGUUUCACACAGUUUUCUCCAGCAUCCUCAGUAAGAGUUAAUCUGCUUCCUUUACAGGAUCGCUCAGAUCUCUGGAUAAUACCCUUGUGCACUUGGAAGCUUGGCUGAUAAUACUGCAUAUGGGUACAUGCUUGGGGCUUGGUUCCUUCGUAGCAGGUAAUGGCAGCGCUGUCCCUCUGUCAGUUAAAAAUCCUUAGUUGGAAAACACUUUGUUCCUUGUUAGGUUUUAAAAAUGUUUUUGUUUUUAACUUCUUCCUGGGUUAAUGGAUCCAAAUUAGGAGUUUAUAAUUUUUAAAUUACAUUAACUUAUUCAUUGUGUGUCUAAUGUACAUGACAGGAUAUGGAGGUCAGAGGACUUACGGGAGUCGGUUCUCUCCUUGCAUCGUGUGGAUCUGAGGUCAGACUCAGGCUGGCAGGUUCGGCUGCAAUCCCCUUUGACUUCAAGUAAUUCUGCUGGCCUGAAAUUGCAAUUUUUAAUAAAAAUUCCCCCUUAACAAAUGAUUAACCGGGAGAAUUUUUUUCUACUAGCCAUUUUCCCUUUGCCAUGUUAAUUAAAACAUGUACUUUGAGGUAGUAGAUUCCAGGAGAAGUUUGCCAUGUUCCUUCCUUUAUUGCAUGUAACUAACCCUUUUGUGCUUAACAAUUUUGCAUCUGGUGGAGAGUUAAGCCACCGUUAACUUCCUGUCUCUGACAUUCAGCUUGGUGCUUGGUGUUGCUUUGCUGUGUACGUCUUAGUCCCGGAUCCUCUGUGCCCUGGUUUGUACCCUGCGCCGUUUCUGUCCUCAGUGGAGGCUUUCUUCUUCCACAAUUUAAUUUUUCAAAAUGCAACUUUAGAUUGCAAAAUGCAGACCCCAACAAAACCUCUGUGUUUUGCUCACAGUGUGCUAGGUGGCAUCUCGUUUUCAGGGUGUGUUGUGUUGUGGUCUACCUGCUGAUGAAGCAUCUCUGUUGUUCUCGGUAAAUGAAAGGCAAACAUUUCCACCCAUUAGUGCUUGGAAGUAAAGAAGAGGAGCCUCUUGGGUGCUCAGCACAUCUCUGAUGAGAUAAGUGUGCAGUAGAUUUAUAGUUCAUUCGGCUUGGUCAAGAGACUCACAUGAGGGGGUUUUGUAUUUUCAAUUGUUUGGUGAUGAUUUCUUCAGUUUUUUUUUUUUAAAUUUGGCGCCACUCAAUAUAUGAAAUUUGACCUUGUACAGGGAAAAUUUCUGGAAAUCAGAUCUUUCUUUUAUUCCAAGUAGAAGGAACCUCUUUGCUAUCAAACACAGAAGACUAUAUUUAGACUGAUAUCAAUAAACAAAAAUUUCAGAUCAUCCAUAUGACUGCUGUCCGGAUCCUGCAAACUUCCAGCAAGCAUGAAAUAACUCAGAUGAGUUAUGAAAAAGCCUCUCCCCAAAGCAAAUGAACUAUUGCCAGAACACGAACAAAAAGAGGGUCUUAUGCUCGGCUUGUAUGUGAAGGGAAACGAAGGACAGCAAUUUGCAAUUUUGGAACAUUCUUUUUCCUGCAGCAGGAUUCAAAGCAAGCUGGACUCCUUCCAUCAGUCAUCAGUGCGUUGUUCAGGAAAACAGUCUGUCCUAAGGAACUGGAAUUGUCUUCCAGGCAACAAACAUAAACACUCCAGAAACGUGACUUCAUCAUCAAAGGCAAUCGUGAUAAAUUAGAAACACCGUACACUUUAAUAUUUAAGCUAUAACUUGCAUGGAAAAACCCAUACCUUUUAGUCCACAGUACUUCGGAGUUUUGACAAUUCAGAGCCAUGUGGUUAAAACCACAAUUAAGACACAGAUUAGAUCUGUUAGUUACAAGAUUCCCUUGUGCCCUUUCGAAGAUGGCUCCUCUCCCCAACUCCUGCCUGGCCACCACUGGUCCAUUUUCUGUGCCUGGUUUUUGUGUCAUCCAGGAUGUUGGAUGAGUGACAUCAUGGACACAGACAGCUUUUUUAUUUUUUUAAAGAUUUAUUUAUUUAUUUAUUAUGUAUACAGUGCUCUGUCUGCAUAUAUGCCUGCAGGCC